Molecule: ribosomal RNA, 253 nt
Filed under: uncultured bacterium
Lineage: Bacteria
Description: partial 16S ribosomal RNA
Rfam family: Bacterial small subunit ribosomal RNA
Source: RNAcentral
UACGGAGGGUGCAAGCGUUGUUCGGAAUCAUUGGGCGUAAAGAGCGUGUAGGCGGCCAAUUAAGUCUGAUGUGAAAGCCCGGGGCUUAACCCCGGAAGUGCAUUGGAUACUGGUUGGCUAGAGGACGAGAGAGGAAGGCGGAAUUCCUGGUGUAGGGGUGAAAUCCGUAGAUAUCAGGAGGAACACCGGAGGCGAAGGCGGCUUUCUGGCUCGUAACUGACGCUGAGACGCGAAAGCGUGGGGAGCAAACAGG